CACUCCUGCGGGAGGCAGCAGUGGGGAAUUUUGGACAAUGGGCGAAAGCCUGAUCCAGCCAUGCCGCGUGCAGGAUGAAGGCCUUCGGGUUGUAAACUGCUUUUGUACGGAACGAAACGGCCUUUUCUAAUAAAGAGGGCUAAUGACGGUACCGUAAGAAUAAGCACCGGCUAACUACGUGCCAGCAGCCGCGGUAAUACGUAGGGUGCAAGCGUUAAUCGGAAUUACUGGGCGUAAAGCGUGCGCAGGCGGUUAUGUAAGACAGUUGUGAAAUCCCCGGGCUCAACCUGGGAACUGCAUCUGUGACUGCAUAGCUAGAGUACGGUAGAGGGGGAUGGAAUUCCGCGUGUAGCAGUGAAAUGCGUAGAUAUGCGGAGGAACACCGAUGGCGAAGGCAAUCCCCUGGACCUGUACUGACGCUCAUGCACGAAAGCGUGGGGAGCAAACAGGAUUAGAUACCCUUGUAGUCCCAUGA
Molecule: ribosomal RNA, 475 nt
Filed under: uncultured organism
Description: partial 16S ribosomal RNA
Rfam family: Bacterial small subunit ribosomal RNA
Source: RNAcentral